Molecule: ribosomal RNA, 679 nt
Filed under: uncultured bacterium
Lineage: Bacteria
Description: bacterial SSU rRNA
Rfam family: Bacterial small subunit ribosomal RNA
Source: RNAcentral
CAAGUCAGAUGUGAAAGCCUUCUGUUCAACGGAAGAAUUGCAUCUGAAACUGCUAAUCUUGAGUAUAGGAGGGGAGAAUGGAACUUCUGGUGGAGCGGUGAAAUGCGUAGAUAUCAGAAGGAACGCCGGCGGCGAAAGCGAUUCUCUGGCCUAUUACUGACACUCAGUGUGCGAAAGCUAGGGGAGCAAACGGGAUUAGAUACCCCGGUAGUCCUAGCCGUAAACGAUGGGCACUAAGUAGAGGGAAUUACCUAUAUUCUCUCUGCCGUAGCUAACGCAUUAAGUGCCCCCCCUGGGGAGUACGGCCGCAAGGCUAAAACUCAAAAGAAUUGACGGGGGCUCGCACAAGCGGUGGAGCAUGUGGCUUAAUUCGAUGCAACGCGAAAAACCUUACCGGGGCUUGACAAGAUAGAAGUAGGAACCUGAAAGGGGGACGAACGGUAUCCAGUCCGUAGCUAUUACAGGUGUUGCAUGGCUGUCGUCAGCUCGUGUCGUGAGACGUUGGGUUAAGUCCCCUGACGAGCGAAACCCUUGUUUUUAGUUACCAGCGGGCUAUGCCGGGUACUCUAGAAAGACUGCCGUCGUCAAGACGGAGGAAGGUGGGGAUGACGUCAAGUCAUCAUGGCCCUUAUGCCCCGGGCUGCACACGUGCUACAAUGGUCGGUACAGACGGAAGCGA